RNAcentral lists this ribosomal RNA (498 nucleotides) under uncultured bacterium. RNAcentral's name for it is "partial 16S ribosomal RNA". It matches the Rfam family "Bacterial small subunit ribosomal RNA", at positions 29 to 507 of the family's 1533-position model. The record is from RNAcentral.
ACGAACGCUGGCGGCGUGCCUAAUACAUGCCAGUCGCGCGAAGUUUUUCUGGUGCUUGCACUAGAAAAACUUAGCGGCGAACGGGUGAGUAACACGUAAAGAACCUGCCUCAUAGACUGGGACAACUAUUGGAAACGAUAGCUAAUACCGGAUAACAGCAUUAACUGCAUGGUUGAUGUUUAAAAGUUGGUUUUGCUAACACUAUGAGAUGGCUUUGCGGUGCAUUAGCUAGUUGGUGGGGUAAAGGCCUACCAAGGCGACGAUGCAUAGCCGACCUGAGAGGGUGAUCGGCCACACUGGGACUGAGACACGGCCCAGACUCCUACGGGAGGCAGCAGUAGGGAAUCUUCCGCAAUGGGCGAAAGCCUGACGGAGCAACGCCGCGUGAGUGAAGAAGGAUUUCGGUUCGUAAAGCUCUGUUGUUAGGGAAGAAUGAUUGUGUAGUAACGAUACACAGUAGAGACGGUACCUAACCAGAAAGCCACGGCUAACUACGUG